Suncus etruscus (white-toothed pygmy shrew) is the source of this 76-nucleotide small nucleolar RNA. RefSeq annotates it as small nucleolar RNA SNORD96 family. The transcript has a single exon. NCBI's taxonomy places the organism in Eukaryota, Metazoa, Chordata, Mammalia, Eulipotyphla, Soricidae. The record is from RefSeq and is a predicted model, not a curated record.
AAUCCUGGUGAUGACAGACGACAUGAUCACCAAUCCCUAUGGGAAUGAGGACAUGUCCUGCAAUUCUGAUCGGAUU